This 497-nucleotide ribosomal RNA is filed under the name uncultured bacterium. RNAcentral's name for it is "partial 16S ribosomal RNA". It matches the Rfam family "Bacterial small subunit ribosomal RNA", at positions 28 to 507 of the family's 1533-position model. The record is from RNAcentral.
GAUGAACGCUGGCGGCGUGCCUAAUACAUGCAAGUCGAGCGAACGGACGAGAAGCUUGCUUCUCUGAUGUUAGCGGCGGACGGGUGAGUAACACGUGGAUAACCUACCUAUAAGACUGGGAUAACUUCGGGAAACCGGAGCUAAUACCGGAUGAUAUUUUGAACCGCAUGGUUCAAAAGUGAAAGACGGUCUUGCUGUCACUUAUAGAUGGAUCCGCGCUGCAUUAGCUAGUUGGUAAGGUAACGGCUUACCAAGGCAACGAUGCAUAGCCGACCUGAGAGGGUUAUCGGCCACACUGGAACUGAGACACGGUCCCGACUCCUACGGGAGGCAGCAGUAGGGAAUCUUCCGCAAUGGGCGAAAGCCUGACGGAGCAACGCCGCGUGAGUGAUGAAGGUCUUCGGAUCGUAAAACUCUGUUAUUAGGGAAGAACAUAUGUGUAAGUAACUGUGCACAUCUUGACGGUACCUAAUCAGAAAGCCACGGCUAACUACGUG